GAUGAACGCUAGCGGCGUGCCUAAUACAUGCAAGUCGAGCGAACGGACGAGAAGCUUGCUUUUCUGAUGUUAGCGGCGGACGGGUGAGUAACACGUGGAUAACCUACCUAUAAGACUGGGAUAACUUCGGGAAACCGGAGCUAAUACCGGAUAAUAUUUUGAACCGCAUGGUUCAAAAGUGAAAGACGGUCUCGCUGUCACUUAUAGAUGGAUCCGCGCUGCAUUAGCUAGUUGGUAAGGUAACGGCUUACCAAGGCAACGAUGCAUAGCCGACCUGAGAGGGUGAUCGGCCACACUGGAACUGAGACACGGUCCAGACUCCUACGGGAGGCAGCAGUAGGGAAUCUUCCGCAAUGGGCGAAAGCCUGACGGAGCAACGCCGCGUGAGUGAUGAAGGUCUUCGGAUCGUAAAACUCUGUUAUUAGGGAAGAACAUAUGUGUAAGUAACUGUGCACAUCUUGACGGUACCUAAUCAGAAAGCCACGGCUAACUACGUG
Molecule: ribosomal RNA, 497 nt
Filed under: uncultured bacterium
Lineage: Bacteria
Description: partial 16S ribosomal RNA
Rfam family: Bacterial small subunit ribosomal RNA
Source: RNAcentral